Long non-coding RNA from Drosophila mojavensis, 533 nucleotides. RefSeq lists it as uncharacterized. The record is from RefSeq and is a predicted model, not a curated record. Lineage: Eukaryota; Metazoa; Arthropoda; Insecta; Diptera; Drosophilidae. The transcript is spliced from 2 exons.
UUGUAGCUAAGGGCGGCAGGCACCCAGUAACCGAAAGAUAUGUAAUAAUUAAUUUAAAAUGUGUGAGUGUGUGUGUGUGUCGAUCAUUAUGUAUUAGUAGGCGACGGCUGCCAUUUCACUUGCAUAAUAUUACGCGCGUCGUAUAGCACGACUUCAGUAGGCCCCGGCAACAGCAACAGCGAUCGCUAUCGGUGCCGUCGCCUUCGCCGUCGCCCACUCGCCCCGUGGUGGACUCUGUGCUGAAAGAGCCCAGCUUGUCUACUCACAGCGUAAAUUGUGCCAUGCUAGUGGAGCUGCUGCUCUGAUGCCACCGCCGCUGCUGCUGCUGUUGUUGCCGCUGCUCUUGCUUCCACUUAGAGCAAUUAUGUCCAUGGAUUGUGGUGUGUGCACCACAGGUUAAGCGCGGAAUUCGAUCAACUGUCUGUUUGUGCUAUGAUAGUCUGAAAUUUGAACGGUGUGUUCUCUCUGCGUGCGUUACUUUUUGUGUGAGCGCCUAAUUGAUUUUAAUUAAAAUUCACAAUCGCAGCAUAAAA